Molecule: non-coding RNA, 25 nt
Filed under: Mus musculus (house mouse)
Lineage: Eukaryota; Metazoa; Chordata; Mammalia; Rodentia; Muridae
Source: RNAcentral
CUGGAAAGUCCACGUUUUUUUGCCA